UGGGGGAUAUUGCACAAUGGGGGAAACCCUGAUGCAGCGACGCCGCGUGAGUGAAGAAGUAUUUCGGUAUGUAAAGCUCUAUCAGCAGGGAAGAAAGAAGACGGUACCUGAGUAAGAAGCCCCGGCUAACUACGUGCCAGCAGCCGCGGUAAUACGUAGGGGGCAAGCGUUAUCCGGAUUUACUGGGUGUAAAGGGAGCGUAGACGGCAAGGCAAGCCUGGAGUGAAAGGCGGGGGCCCAACCCCCGGACUGCUCUGGGAACUGUCUGGCUAGAGUGCAGGAGGGGUAAGUGGAAUUCCUAGU
Molecule: ribosomal RNA, 303 nt
Filed under: uncultured bacterium
Lineage: Bacteria
Description: bacterial SSU rRNA
Rfam family: Bacterial small subunit ribosomal RNA
Source: RNAcentral